CACUCACCAUCUGCCCUGUGGAUAAUCUUGCCAGAGCCACACCUGACCCAGAGCCCAGCUCACCAACUCCCCGUGGUACGGAGCAUCAGCCUGAGCCCACAGAUGAUGGAGAGCCAUUUCCCACCACGAUCCAUGAGCUAGAGCAAGGCCAAGUGACUGAGCAAAGGAUCGCCCCGGAAGUUGAGCCCAACCCAUCAGACCAGGUGCAAGAGCCGGCGACAGUGCCCACCACGAGGGAGCAAGUCCUGGAUGGUGUGAGCACGGAGAGGAGCUCCGCCCCCUGUAUCAUGGCUUAGGGUGAGCUGAGCACUGUGUGGCAAAAGGGCCAAAAUGAGGAGGAGGAUCUCAUUGACUGGGAAUCUGAUCUGGAGAUUGAACUGCUCCCUCUCUUCUCUCCACUGGUCCCGUCCAGCCCUCGUUCAUCCAUGCUUCCCUCGUCCAGCCCUGAGGGGUAGGAGUCUCCCUCACCUCCGCUUCCAGCCUCCGAGGCCCGGACUCCACCUCAGCCCGCAGACCCAGCGGAUCCACCUCGGCUCCUAGCUUCCUCGCCUCCAUCAUCCAUCGAUCCAUCAUCUCCACCAGGCUCCCUCAUCCCUCCGGCUCCACCUUGGUCAGAUGUCGACCCACCAUCGUGCUUCGUUGGGCUCGGCUGCCAUUCUUCCUCCAUGGCUCCUUCCCCCAUUGGCUCCACGGUGGGUCGACAUUAUGACUGUGGCCUGGGUCCCGCUGGGCUCCUCCUGCUCCAAGCAUCACCUGUCUCCUCCCUGGACUCUGUCUGGCGGGCCCCUCCUGGGUGUCCAUCCUCCUCCUGAGUCUCCUCCCUGGUUCGCAUCCAUUCCCCUCUCCAUGUUGUUUCAAUGGUGUGAGGACGCACCUACUGGGAGGGGGUAGUAAUGUCAUGCCCCUGGACUUAUUUUGUUGUGUUUUCCCUCCCCAUGUGUUCCGUGUUCCGUGUCCCAUGUUAAUUGUUUCAUUCUAUGCACCUGUGUUUAGUAAUUAUCUCUAGUAUUUAAGUUCCUGUCUUUGCGUCUCUCCUCUGUCAGGUCCACUUCAUCCAUACCU
Long non-coding RNA from Cyprinus carpio carpio, 1062 nucleotides. NCBI's taxonomy places the organism in Eukaryota, Metazoa, Chordata, Actinopteri, Cypriniformes, Cyprinidae. The record is from Ensembl.